CACUACUCCAGGCUUUGGCUAUAAAGUGGUGAACACGUCAAGAUCUCCCCAUUCUCAUGGAGCUGACCUUCUAGUAGGAAAGACAAUGACUAGACAACCAUCUGCCAGGAAGUCAGGUCAAGGUUAUGGCUGCAGGAUGGGCGGGAGGACAGGCCAGAACUGAAUGGCCACUAUGGAGAUCAAACCCAGGCAUGGUGAUGCCUUUCUGAACGCGGACCUCUGAUCCUCUGCUCGAGUCUCUGGGCAGAUGGUUACAACGCAGAUUCCUGGCACCCCCCACCCCCACGCCCGGCCCACUGAAUCAGAAUCUGAGAGACGUUGUCAUUGACAUAAGUCCUGCAGGUGUGUGCUGGGAGGCGGGGCCAAGGAGGAGGUUUUCCAACUGCUGGACUGUUCCUUACACGUUCUCCGCAUCAGCCAGUUUCAACAGCAGCAGAGCAUGCCAAGGACUAGAGACACCGCUGUGCAGGUAGCCGUCCCUACUCUCAGGCACUUGGGACUCUUCCACGUUAUGGAUAAUGUGGGCGUGAACAUCCUUAUGCACACUUGCCCUUAUGCGGACUCGUGCCUUAAAGUCCAUUCUCAGAACAAAGGACGAAAAGGGUAUGAACAUUUUUAUGGCUCCUACCAUAAUAGCACUAAAUUGCAUUUUCCAGAAAGGCUGCACAUUUGGGCCGACACCUGCAACGUGCAAGAGUGUCAAUUUCAUCACAGUGCUGCCAGCAUUUCCACCCCUCAGUUACAGAUAAGGAAACUGAGGCUGCAUUGCUGAAGUGACCUGUGACCUAUGUCAAGUGACACAUUCAGUCCGUGCCAGAACUGGGACAAAAACCCAGGGAUUUCUCAUUCAGGGGCCAGGAUGUUUCGCCACGGCCGACUUCCUCAGUCUCCAACCAGGCAGGAGGGAGAAAUCAAGUCUGGCAGGUCACUCUCUGUCCCCCGCCCCUCCCUGCCAGCUCUGACCUCAGCUAGGAGCUCACGUUUCAGUGCAUUUCAUUGUUUUUCUGCCUGUAAAACUGGGCCUCUCCCUUGUCUGCUCAAGCUCCACAUCCUGAGUGAACUCUCUGAUUCCUCCGAGGAGGCCAUCACAUACUUGAACCGUGGGUUAGAUGCAGAUAAGUGGAUGGGGAAGGAGUGGGACAAAGGCGAGGUGACAGUCCCGGGGAAGGACAAAGGCCAGGCCAGAUCAGCCAGAGCAGUGGGGGCCCCAGGGGGAAAGUUAAGACGCAAAGGAGUUGGGGCCCAGGGUGGCAGACAAAGGAGUCCAAAUGGGAGGCCUUGAGCACAUGCCUAGGCCUCCAUCUGCUACUGGGAUGUGGGUUGUUCCCAUGAGAAAACUGGGUUCUGGCUUUAGCGGGGGCGGGGGCAGUCCUUACCAAGGUGUCUGGGGGUGCAGAGGAUUCCCAACCCCCCAGCUAAUCAUAUGGAAAUUGCAUGAGUAUGUGAGCGUGUUCCUUUUUCUGGGAAGACAGCCCAUAGAGCUUAACAGAUUUUCAAAAAAGUUUAUGACCCCCUCUAAAAGUUCAAAAAAUAAAAGUUAGAUGAAAAGUG
Felis catus (domestic cat) is the source of this 1551-nucleotide long non-coding RNA. RefSeq lists it as uncharacterized. The record is from RefSeq and is a predicted model, not a curated record. NCBI's taxonomy places the organism in Eukaryota, Metazoa, Chordata, Mammalia, Carnivora, Felidae. The transcript has 2 exons.